GGGUCGGUACCCAAGUGGUUAAAGGGGACGGUCUGUAAAACCGUUGGCUUCGGUCUACGCAGGUUCGAAUCCUGCCCGGCCCA
Molecule: transfer RNA, 83 nt
Filed under: Candidatus Moranbacteria bacterium RIFOXYA1_FULL_44_7
Lineage: Bacteria; Candidatus Moraniibacteriota
Also listed under: 3 other names
Description: tRNA-Tyr
Rfam family: tRNA
About the family: Transfer RNA (tRNA) molecules are approximately 80 nucleotides in length. Their secondary structure includes four short double-helical elements and three loops (D, anti-codon, and T loops). Further hydrogen bonds mediate the characteristic L-shaped molecular structure. tRNAs have two regions of fundamental functional importance: the anti-codon, which is responsible for specific mRNA codon recognition, and the 3' end, to which the tRNAs corresponding amino acid is attached (by aminoacyl-tRNA synthetases). tRNAs cope with the degeneracy of the genetic code in two manners: having more than one tRNA (with a specific anti-codon) for a particular amino acid; and 'wobble' base-pairing, i.e. permitting non-standard base-pairing at the 3rd anti-codon position.
Source: RNAcentral